UGGGGAAUAUUGGACAAUGGGCGGAAGCCUGAUCCAGCAACGCCGCGUGAGGGAUGACGGCCUUCGGGUUGUAAACCUCUUUCAGUACCGACGAAGCGAAAGUGACGGUAGGUACAGAAGAAGGACCGGCCAACUACGUGCCAGCAGCCGCGGUAAUACGUAGGGUCCGAGCGUUGUCCGGAAUUAUUGGGCGUAAAGGGCUCGUAGGCGGUUUGUCGCGUCGGGAGUGAAAACAGCGGGCUUAACUCGUUGCUUGCUUUCGAUACGGGGCAGACUAGAGGUAUGCAGGGGAGAAUGGAAUUCCUGGUGUAGCGGUGAAAUGCGCAGAUAUCAGGAGGAACACCGGUGGCGAAGGCGGUUCUCUGGGCAUUACCUGACGCUGAGGAGCGAAAGUGUGGGGAGCGAACAGGAUUAGAUACCCUGGUAGUCCACACCGUAAACGUUGGGCGNUAGGUGUGGGGUCCUUUCCACGGAUUCCGUGCCGU
Molecule: ribosomal RNA, 485 nt
Filed under: uncultured bacterium
Lineage: Bacteria
Description: partial 16S ribosomal RNA
Rfam family: Bacterial small subunit ribosomal RNA
Source: RNAcentral